GCUCAGGACGAACGCUGGCGGCGCGCCUAACACAUGCAAGUCGAACGAGAGAUGAGGAGCUUGCUCUUCAAAUCGAGUGGCGAACGGGUGAGUAACGCGUGAGGAACCUGCCUCAAAGAGGGGGACAACAGUUGGAAACGACUGCUAAUACCGCAUAAGCCCACAGCUCGGCAUCGAGCAGAGGGAAAAGGAGCAAUCCGCUUUGAGAUGGCCUCGCGUCCGAUUAGCUAGUUGGUGAGGUAACGGCCCACCAAGGCGACGAUCGGUAGCCGGACUGAGAGGUUGAACGGCCACAUUGGGACUGAGACACGGCCCAGACUCCUACGGGAGGCAGCAGUA
Molecule: ribosomal RNA, 339 nt
Filed under: uncultured bacterium
Lineage: Bacteria
Description: bacterial SSU rRNA
Rfam family: Bacterial small subunit ribosomal RNA
Source: RNAcentral